Long non-coding RNA from Cyanistes caeruleus (blue tit), 624 nucleotides. RefSeq lists it as uncharacterized. Lineage: Eukaryota; Metazoa; Chordata; Aves; Passeriformes; Paridae. The record is from RefSeq and is a predicted model, not a curated record.
GGUAACUGUGCCAGGACAGGACUUUGAUCUGACUCUUUCUAAAGCAUCUCUCAUUCCUAGUAGUCCCUCCUUGUGCUUUGUGAACUUUGAGGAAGACAGGUAGAUAGACAGGGUCAGAUCCAUGGUCCUAGCUGGACACAAGGAACUGGGAUUGGUAGAAUUGCGCCUCUGAGGACUGGAGAGGGUUCUUCAUGACAGCUCCAACCACUGUCUCCAAAGGCAGGGUUAUAUUUGGUCUGCUGGAGAGUGGGAAGCAGAUAGACGGUCUCUCCUGCCCUUGGUUACACAUAAUGAGCUUCCUGCAAGGAGGAAUAGAAAGUGCAUUUCAGAAGACAGGACUCAAGGUAGCUCUGGUGGAUUACUACACUCUUUUUGGAAAGAUGGAGAUCAUCAUGAAUACUGUUUCAGAAAAGGGCCCACCACCAGAGCUGCAGUAGAAACAGCAUACACUUCCUGAGUUUCAUGUGACAAAUAAAAUGCAAGCAUAUUUUGAAAAGAGAAAUGUUGACCCAACUUAACUUUCCAUCCUCUUACGCUGUUUUGAGAAUGAACUAGCAUGCUUCAGAUCAUGGGAACAAACAAAAAGCAUGGUGGCAGAGAAACAGCAGUAUUUGAAGUAAAGCU